This is a long non-coding RNA of Setaria italica (foxtail millet), 740 nucleotides long. RefSeq lists it as uncharacterized. The record is from RefSeq and is a predicted model, not a curated record. The transcript has 3 exons. NCBI's taxonomy places the organism in Eukaryota, Viridiplantae, Streptophyta, Magnoliopsida, Poales, Poaceae.
CGAGUGAGGAGCGAGCAGCGAACUAUAGUAGUGACUAGUGAGAGUGAGGAUGUGUGGAGCCUGGCCUUCUCUCCUGUGCCACUGCUAGUAGCUACCAGUCCACACCAAGAUCUAUCUGCUGGAAUCGAUAUCUGAAUAACUUAUAUAGCCUCUCAUCCCGAUCAAGCGCAGAUCCCUGAUCCCGAGCUGCCCAACGUCAUGGUGAAGGAUGACCCUUUGGAUAACGAAAACCCUAGAUCUCACACUGCUAACAACAUCCAUGUCGAUAACAAGAGGGAAGAAAUGUCCAUCAUGGUCUCAUCAGUCAAUGAUCAGUACAAAACGGCGGCGCUCGACUUCCAGAAAGACAAAACUACUACCGAUCGACCCCGACUGCAAGGACAAGCUAGUGUUCGCGUGGCCACUCCCACAUAGCCUAUGAACCGGUGCUAUCCCGUUUGAGCUUUUCAUUUCACGGAACCUCUCCUCUCUGGCAUUUUCUGGUUCCUCAUGCCAGAAUUAGUAUUCUUGACCUUGUAAGGCCUCUUCUUGACCUUGUAAGGCCCUCCCUCUACGUCUGGCACCUCCUAGCACCUCCUUCUCGCUUCUUUCUUGCUGCCCAUGAAACCAGUCUCACCAUUGCUGUGUUAGCCGGGCUCUCGCAACCACCUAUCUCCUGCUCCCUUCUAUCCCUCCUGAGCUAGCUUAUCCAUGUAAUAUAACCAUGCUUGAUUUAUAUAAAGCGCUGGGUUUAUUUAAUA